AAGGUAAUUUAAUUAGAAUGGCAGUUUUGGGUAUUGUUAGUGCAGGCGUCUCUGUCCUU
Molecule: transfer RNA, 59 nt
Filed under: Modiolus kurilensis
Lineage: Eukaryota; Metazoa; Mollusca; Bivalvia; Mytilida; Modiolidae
Description: tRNA-Pro
Source: RNAcentral